GACGAACGCUGGCGGCGUGCUUAACACAUGCAAGUCGAGCGGAAAGGCCCUUCGGGGUACUCGAGCGGCGAACGGGUGAGUAACACGUGAGUAAUCUGCCCCGUACUCUGGGAUAGCCUCUGGAAACGGAGAUUAAUACCGGAUAUUCAUCAGAUACCGCAUGGUGUUUGGUGGAAAGUUUUUCGGUACGGGAUGUGCUCGCGGCCUAUCAGCUUGAUGGUGAGGUAACGGCUCACCAUGGCUUCGACGGGUAGCCGGCCUGAGAGGGUGACCGGCCACACUGGGACUGAGACACGGCCCAGACUCCUACGGGAGGCAGCAGUGGGGAAUAUUGGACAAUGGGCGAAAGCCUGAUCCAGCAACGCCGCGUGAGGGAUGACGGCCUUCGGGUUGUAAACCUCUUUCAGGACAGACGAAGCGCAAGUGACGGUAUGUUCAGAAGAAGGACCGGCCAACUACGUGCCAGCAGCCGCAGUAACAC
RNAcentral lists this ribosomal RNA (481 nucleotides) under uncultured bacterium. Its description in RNAcentral is "bacterial SSU rRNA". It matches the Rfam family "Bacterial small subunit ribosomal RNA", at positions 28 to 526 of the family's 1533-position model. The record is from RNAcentral.